AAAUUUGUCCAACUUGAUCAAAACAUUUUGAUCUCCUGUCGAAGGAGCUAUGAAUGAUGCCUUCUGGGAUAUCAAGGAACAAUGACUGCUAGUUGUUGAGAAGAAAAAUUGAAGUUUGAGAAACAGAUUCAGGUACUCUUCUUACUCGAAUUAUCAAGUCCAAGGACGAACCUUACGCUACUUUAAAUGCUAAAGGGAAACCUGGAUGUGAAGUAAUGUCAUAGCAGCCGACAUUCAACCAGGUACUGUUUCAGCGUCAUAAAACUAAAGAGCAAACUAACUUCUGGGAAACUAAAAAUGCUUGCUACUGUUUCAGCGUCAUAAAACUUAAGUUUGGAAAGGCUAGGAAGCAUUGCGGUAAAAAACCCACCCUUUUGCCAACAGAGUUAUUUAAUGAUGAAUUACGGGGAAGCUAAGUAAAUACCGUAACCUAUUGUAUCUGUGGUUACAAUUUGCAGGAACAGAAUUGCCGUUGCAGAUAAUCAGUUUUUGGCGCUGCAUGCAGCAGUCUUUAAUCCUAGAAAUAAGGGAAAGAUGAAAGUGGAAAUCAACUGAGAAAUAACAUUUUGCUGGGUGUUCAGAUCCUACAGCUUCAAGAUUGUCUAUGGCGAGGAAGCCAAUGGCAUUAAUGUUUUUAAGCCUUACUAGUAGCUGCUAUCCCAGUAUUAGGCUACUGCUUUUCUUUGAUCCUUAUGCCUUGAUGCUAUUGCUUUUACUGGCGAGAGUUUGUAGAGUGUAAUAGCCCGUCUAGUAGUACUUGACAGGGUUCAAAUUUCAUUAGCAAUUCCAU
Molecule: long non-coding RNA, 790 nt
Filed under: Coffea arabica (coffee)
Lineage: Eukaryota; Viridiplantae; Streptophyta; Magnoliopsida; Gentianales; Rubiaceae
Description: long non-coding RNA (CARA_LNC003080)
Source: RNAcentral